RNAcentral lists this ribosomal RNA (301 nucleotides) under uncultured bacterium. RNAcentral's name for it is "partial 16S ribosomal RNA". It matches the Rfam family "Bacterial small subunit ribosomal RNA", at positions 509 to 807 of the family's 1533-position model. The record is from RNAcentral.
CAGCAGCCACGGUAAUACGAAGGGGGCUAGCGUUGUUCGGAAUUACUGGGCGUAAAGCGCACGUAGGCGGAUCGAUCAGUCAGGGGUGAAAUCCCAGGGCUCAACCCUGGAACUGCCUUUGAUACUGUCGAUCUGGAGUAUGGAAGAGGUGAGUGGAAUUCCGAGUGUAGAGGUGAAAUUCGUAGAUAUUCGGAGGAACACCAGUGGCGAAGGCGGCUCACUGGUCCAUUACUGACGCUGAGGUGCGAAAGCGUGGGGAGCAAACAGGAUUAGAUACCCCAGUAGUCCCUGUCUCUUAUAC